GUGUCGUCAGCUCGUGCCGUGAGGUGUCGGGUUAAGUCCCAUAACGAGCGCAACCCUUGCCUUUAGUUGCCAGCAGUUCGGCUGGGCACUCUAAAGGGACUGCCGGUGUUAAACCGGAGGAAGGUGGGGAUGACGUCAAGUCCUCAUGGCCUUUAUGACCAGGGCUACACACGUACUACAAUGGCCGAUACAAAGGGCAGCGACACUGCGAGGUGAAGCCAAUCCCGUAAAAUCGGUCUCAGUCCGGAUUGGAGUCUGCAACUCGACUCCAUGAAGUUGGAAUCGCUAGUAAUCGUGGAUCAGCAUGCCACGGUGAAUACGUUCCCGGGCCUU
This 333-nucleotide ribosomal RNA is filed under the name uncultured Desulfobulbus sp. RNAcentral's name for it is "bacterial SSU rRNA". It matches the Rfam family "Bacterial small subunit ribosomal RNA", at positions 1049 to 1382 of the family's 1533-position model. The record is from RNAcentral. Lineage: Bacteria; Pseudomonadati; Thermodesulfobacteriota; Desulfobulbia; Desulfobulbales; Desulfobulbaceae.